UUGGAGGGCAAGUCUGGUGCCAGCAGCCGCGGUAAUUCCAGCUCCAAUAGCGUAUAUUAAAGUUGUUGCAGUUAAAAAGCUCGUAGUUGAACUUCAGACCUGACCGGGCGGUCCGCCUAACGGUGUGUACUGUCUGGCCGGGCCUUACCUCUUGGUGAGCCGGCAUGCCCUUCACUGGGUGUGUCGGGGAACCAGGACCUUUACCUUGAGAAAAUUAGAGUGUUCAAAGCAGGCUUACGCCGGUAAUACCAUUAGCAUGGAAUAAUAAAUAGGACGUGUCGG
RNAcentral lists this ribosomal RNA (282 nucleotides) under uncultured fungus. Its description in RNAcentral is "partial 18S ribosomal RNA". It matches the Rfam family "Eukaryotic small subunit ribosomal RNA", at positions 548 to 834 of the family's 1831-position model. Lineage: Eukaryota; Fungi. The record is from RNAcentral.